CGCGCAGGCGGUCGUUCAAGUCGAGUGUGAAAGCCCCCGGCUCAACUGGGGAGGGUCACUCGAUACUGAUCGACUCGAAGGCAGGAGAGGGAAGCGGAAUUCCCGGUGUAGUGGUGAAAUGCGUAGAUAUCGGGAGGAACACCAGUGGCGAAGGCGGCUUCCUGGCCUGUUCUUGACGCUGAGGCGCGAAAGCUAGGGGAGCAAACG
This 207-nucleotide ribosomal RNA is filed under the name uncultured bacterium. Its description in RNAcentral is "partial 16S ribosomal RNA". It matches the Rfam family "Bacterial small subunit ribosomal RNA", at positions 568 to 774 of the family's 1533-position model. The record is from RNAcentral.